AGAAGAUACGGCUUGGGUUCAAGUCCCAGUGGAAGGAACAGGCUAAGAAAACCAGAGCUUCUUUUUCUUAAUCGAAGAAGGGCUUAGAUUCUUUUUUGUCCAUUUUUCCAAGCUGUUUGGGAGGGUUUUACACCAGUCCUGAAUAGGCCU
This is a long non-coding RNA of Syngnathus acus (greater pipefish), 150 nucleotides long. RefSeq lists it as uncharacterized. NCBI's taxonomy places the organism in Eukaryota, Metazoa, Chordata, Actinopteri, Syngnathiformes, Syngnathidae. The record is from RefSeq and is a predicted model, not a curated record. The transcript has 2 exons.